GACGAACGCUGGCGGCAUGCCUAACACAUGCAAGUCGAACGAGACCUUCGGGUCUAGUGGCGCACGGGUGCGUAACGCGUGGGAACCUGCCCUUAGGUUCGGAAUAACUCCCCGAAAGGGGUGCUAAUACCGGAUAAUGUCUUCGGACCAAAGAUUUAUCGCCUUUGGAUGGGCCCGCGUUGGAUUAGCUAGUUGGUAGGGUAAAAGCCUACCAAGGCGACGAUCCAUAGCUGGUCUGAGAGGAUGAUCAGCCACACUGGGACUGAGACACGGCCCAGACUCCUACGGGAGGCAGCAAUGGGGAAUAUUGGACAAUGGGCGAAAGCCUGAUCCAGCAAUGCCGCGUGAGUGAUGAAGGCCUUAGGGUUGUAAAGCUCUUUUACCCGGGAUGAUAAUGACAGUACCGGGAGAAUAAGCUCCGGCUAACUCCGUG
RNAcentral lists this ribosomal RNA (433 nucleotides) under uncultured bacterium. RNAcentral describes it as "partial 16S ribosomal RNA". It matches the Rfam family "Bacterial small subunit ribosomal RNA", at positions 28 to 507 of the family's 1533-position model. The record is from RNAcentral.